This 511-nucleotide ribosomal RNA is filed under the name uncultured bacterium. RNAcentral describes it as "bacterial SSU rRNA". It matches the Rfam family "Bacterial small subunit ribosomal RNA", at positions 34 to 518 of the family's 1533-position model. The record is from RNAcentral.
CGCUGGCGGCGUGCCUAAUACAUGCAAGUCGAACGGUCUUUCUAUGGAAGCUUGCUUCCACUGAGAAGAUAGUGGCGAGCGGGUGAGUAACACGUGGGUAACCUGCCCAUAAGAGGGGGAUAACAUCCGGAAGCGGGUGCUAAUACCGCAUAGUUUUCUUGAUCGCAUGAUUGAGAAAGGAAAGACGGCCUUUGUGCUGUCGCUUAUGGAUGGACCCGCGGCGUAUUAGUUAGUUGGUGAGGUAACGGCUCACCAAGACGAUGAUACGUAGCCGACCUGAGAGGGUGAUCGGCCACAUUGGGACUGAGACACGGCCCAAACUCCUACGGGAGGCAGCAGUAGGGAAUCUUCCGCAAUGGACGAAAGUCUGACGGAGCAACGCCGCGUGAGUGAAGAAAGGUUUUCGGAUCGUAAAACUCUGUUGUCAGAGAAGAACAAGUUGGAGAGUAACUGCUCCAGCCUUGACGGUAUCUGACCAGAAAGCCACGGCUAACUACGUGCCAGCAGCCGC